RNAcentral lists this ribosomal RNA (235 nucleotides) under uncultured prokaryote. Its description in RNAcentral is "partial 16S ribosomal RNA". It matches the Rfam family "Bacterial small subunit ribosomal RNA", at positions 524 to 758 of the family's 1533-position model. The record is from RNAcentral.
UACGUAGGGUGCGAGCGUUAAUCGGAAUUACUGGGCGUAAAGCGUGCGCAGGCGGUUUUGUAAGACAGGGGUGAAAUCCCCGGGCUUAACCUGGGAACUGCGCUUGUGACUGCAAGACUCGAGUACGGCAGAGGGGGGUAGAAUUCCACGUGUAGCAGUGAAAUGCGUAGAUAUGUGGAGGAACACCGAUGGCGAAGGCAGCCCCCUGGGAUGUGACUGACGCUCAUGUACGAAA